GGGGCUGCGUUGAAGAUUUGAUUCAUUCAGAAAUUUGCUCGUAUCUCUUCUUUCUUACACACUCUUCUUAUUAUCUAAUUAGUCUCUUCCUUCUUUUAUUAGAAAAAAUCCAAAAAUAGUAAGGACAAGUCCGAUUUUAAGACAAGAGCCUAGGAGGAGAAUUAAGGAAGACAAAGAGAGAAGAAAGAUAGGGAUAGGAAGGCUAGGAG
Molecule: long non-coding RNA, 209 nt
Filed under: Elaeis guineensis (African oil palm)
Lineage: Eukaryota; Viridiplantae; Streptophyta; Magnoliopsida; Arecales; Arecaceae
Description: long non-coding RNA (EGUI_LNC082859)
Source: RNAcentral